Long non-coding RNA from Echinops telfairi (small Madagascar hedgehog), 208 nucleotides. RefSeq lists it as uncharacterized. The record is from RefSeq and is a predicted model, not a curated record. Lineage: Eukaryota; Metazoa; Chordata; Mammalia; Afrosoricida; Tenrecidae. The transcript is spliced from 3 exons.
GGAUUGAUCUCACAGAAGAUGAACUCUUACAUCUGCAGGAGACCCUUCCAGUUGAUGAUGCUGGGAUGAUAUUUCAGAAUAGAUUGUUGAAUGAAGUAAAGUCUUUCAAAGGAGGAAACAUUAAUGUCAAUAGCAUAGACACUGUCCUGGAAAAUAUGAAGAUAAAUCUCACAGAGCCAGAGCUUCAAGGUCUGACAGAAAACCUACC